UACGGAAGGUCCAGGCGUUAUCCGGAUUUAUUGGGUUUAAAGGGAGUGUAGGCGGUCUGUUAAGCGUGUUGUGAAAUUUAGGUGCUCAACAUCUACCUUGCAGCGCGAACUGGCGGACUUGAGUGCACGCAACGUAUGCGGAAUUCAUGGUGUAGCGGUGAAAUGCUUAGAUAUCAUGACGAACUCCGAUUGCGAAGGCAGCGUACGGGAGUGUUACUGACGCUUAAGCUCGAAGGUGCGGGUAUCGAACAGG
RNAcentral lists this ribosomal RNA (253 nucleotides) under uncultured bacterium. RNAcentral describes it as "partial 16S ribosomal RNA". It matches the Rfam family "Bacterial small subunit ribosomal RNA", at positions 524 to 776 of the family's 1533-position model. The record is from RNAcentral. RNAcentral also lists the same sequence under 1 other name.